UACAGGCUUAACACAUGCAAGUCGAGGGGCAGCAUGGUCUUAGCUUGCUAAGGCCGAUGGCGACCGGCGCACGGGUGAGUAACACGUAUCCAACCUGCCGUCUACUCUUGGACAGCCUUCUGAAAGGAAGAUUAAUACAAGAUGGCAUCAUGAGUCCGCAUGUUCACAUGAUUAAAGGUAUUCCGGUAGACGAUGGGGAUGCGUUCCAUUAGAUAGUAGGCGGGGUAACGGCCCACCUAGUCUUCGAUGGAUAGGGGUUCUGAGAGGAAGGUCCCCCACAUUGGAACUGAGACACGGUCCAAACUCCUACGGGAGGCAGCAGUGAGGAAUAUUGGUCAAUGGGCGAGAGCCUGAACCAGCCAAGUAGCGUGAAGGAUGACUGCCCUAUGGGUUGUAAACUUCUUUUAUAAAGGAAUAAAGUCGGGUAUGCAUACCCGUUUGCACGUACUUUAUGAAUAAGGAUCGGCUAACUCCGUGCCAGCAGCCGCGGUAAUACGGAGGAUCCGAGCGUUAUCCGGAUUUAUUGGGUUUAAAGGGAGCGUAGAUGGAUGUUUAAGUCAGUUGUGAAAGUUUGCGGCUCAACCGUAAAAUUGCAGUUGAUACUGGAUAUCUUGAGUGCAGUUGAGGCAGGCGGAAUUCGUGGUGUAGCGGUGAAAUGCUUAGAUAUCACGAAGAACUCCGAUUGCGAAGGCAGCCUGCUAAGCUGCAACUGACAUUGAGGCUCGAAAGUGUGGGUAUCAAACAGGAUUAGAUACCCUGGUAGUCCACACGGUAAACGAUGAAUACUCGCUGUUUGCGAUAUACAGCAAGCGGCCAAGCGAAAGCGUUAAGUAUUCCACCUGGGGAGUACGCCGGCAACGGUGAAACUCAAAGGAAUUGACGGGGGCCCGCACAAGCGGAGGAACAUGUGGUUUAAUUCGAUGAUACGCGAGGAACCUUACCCGGGCUUAAAUUGCAGAUGAAUUACGGUGAAAGCCGUAAGCCGCAAGGCAUCUGUGAAGGUGCUGCAUGGUUGUCGUCAGCUCGUGCCGUGAGGUGUCGGCUUAAGUGCCAUAACGAGCGCAACCCUUGUUGUCAGUUACUAACAGGUUCCGCUGAGGACUCUGACAAGACUGCCAUCGUAAGAUGUGAGGAAGGUGGGGAUGACGUCAAAUCAGCACGGCCCUUACGUCCGGGGCUACACACGUGUUACAAUGGGGGGUACAGAGGGCCGCUACCACGCGAGUGGAUGCCAAUCCCAAAAACCUCUCUCAGUUCGGACUGGAGUCUGCAACCCGACUCCACGAAGCUGGAUUCGCUAGUAAUCGCGCAUCAGCCACGGCGCGGUGAAUACGUUCCCGGGCCUUGUACACACCGCCCGUCAAGCCAUGGGAGCCGGGGGUACCUGAAGUGCGUAACCGCGAGGAGCGCCCUAGGGUAAAACUGGUGACUGGGGCUAAGUCAUAAC
Molecule: ribosomal RNA, 1447 nt
Filed under: uncultured organism
Description: SSU rRNA
Rfam family: Bacterial small subunit ribosomal RNA
Source: RNAcentral